Molecule: long non-coding RNA, 1259 nt
Organism: Zingiber officinale
Lineage: Eukaryota; Viridiplantae; Streptophyta; Magnoliopsida; Zingiberales; Zingiberaceae
Exons: 3
Source: RefSeq, a predicted model, not a curated record
UCUUUUUCUUUUCUUCUCCCGUCGCCGAACCCGUGCCCUAACCCAUCUACUUCCCCCGCAUGUCUCUCCUCCCGAUUCUUCUCCCCUCUUCUCACCUUCUCUUUCUCUUCCGUCCCUACCCAAGCGCCGGUGACGCUCGAGCCACCGCCGGCCAAGCCCCUCUCCCAAUCCCUCAUCUCUUCUCCUUGAUUUCCAGCAGCCGAUCUCCCUUCCUCCUCUCCUCUCCUCCCCGAUGUAUCCCUCUUCCAUCUCUACCUCUUCAUCGCCGGUGACCACAGACCGUAAGGCGUAAGCUGCCGUGCGACCUUCUCGCUGUGGAUCCCAAUCGUUGUCACUAGGGUUGAUCCACCGAUCUCCCCUUCACCGACAUUGUGCCCUAGUUCCGAAUCACCGUCGAGCCCUAGCUUCUGUACCCGACACCGGUAGAGGACUUGCUGCACUGACCUUCGCUAGAGCAAGCCGAGACCAGCGCUACGACAUCCACGAUCUGCCACCGUCAACCCAUGCUGCCCUGCCGUGGCCACCAUUCGGGGUCCUUAUGCCGUCGUCGUCCCUCUGAUUCGGUUCACUUCCUCAGUAGCCACCCACUUUGACCUAGCAUCGCUGAUUUCCCCUUCCUUUACCCUCUGCCUUUGCUGAAGAGGAUCAUAUUCCGGCAGGAACUCACUGUGUUGGCGUCUCUUUACCUAGUGCCACCACCAGAUAUCAAAUUUAUUGCUGCCGUCACCGAAGAAGAGAUCAACCGCUCUGCUGUGGAUCCGAGCAUCACCAUUUGAGGGUGACUCACAACUCUGGCCACAAUUUCCAGCAGCAAGAUCCCUAGCAGUGAAUUGAUAGAAUGAUACUCAAAUUCGGGACUCUGAUUUGCGAUGGGUUGCCUUCCGUGGGAUUACUUUUGGCAUGCGCUAUAUUGGAGGCGGGUACCCUGACUUAUCUCUUUUAAUAUGUCAUGUUGAUAUACUUAGUAGAUUUUUAAUAAGUAGUAAUAAUUAUGUUUAUAUCUGCAUCGGUAUGUCACUAUUUAUUUCUGAACUUGUUUUGUUUAUUACUUGUUUAGCAUUCAUGCCCCUGUUUAUUCUUUAUGUUAUAGAGGUAGUGGCAUGCCAUGCCUUAUGAAAUACUGGACUGGUUAGAUACCAUACCUGACCUGUGUACCUAGAUCAUAUUAUUUGAUCCACGUAUUUUGGUACAUGUUUUAUGGAGGUAGAUAUGGUCAGAAUCUUCAUGCUUAGUGUCAUGUAUCAUCUCGCAUGUUGCAU